UACGGGGGGAGCAAGCGUUAUUCGGAAUUAUUGGGCGUAAAGGGCGCGUCGGUGGCGGGACAAGCGUGCGGUGAAAGCUCGGGGCUCAACCCCGAGUCGGCCGUGCGAACUGUUUUGCUGGAGCACUGUAGAGGCAGGCGGAAUUCCGGGUGUAGCGGUGGAAUGCGUAGAGAUCCGGAAGAACACCGGUGGCGAAGGCGGCCUGCUGGGCAGUUGCUGACACUGAGGCGCGACAGCGUGGGGAGCAAACAGG
Molecule: ribosomal RNA, 253 nt
Filed under: uncultured bacterium
Lineage: Bacteria
Description: partial 16S ribosomal RNA
Rfam family: Bacterial small subunit ribosomal RNA
Source: RNAcentral